ACUUAGUUUAGAAGCAUGUAUAUUUAAAAUUACAACAUACUGUUAACACAUUCCAUUUUGACUUUGAACACUUUGAACUAAUUGCACUAAACUUAACUGGUUAAUUAUCAUAAUCAAGUGGCAUUUAGCAGAACUCACAAACAGAAAAAGUGCCACAGGAAGACAGUUUUCAGAAAAUACAAAAACUGAGGUUUGUGGUUUGGACUCUUAACAGCAAAGAUAUCCCUUUAUGUGGUGAGCUCUGCUAACAAAAAGUAUUUGUCAACUUCUUGCCAAUAGAUAGCCAAGAAGUAUGAGAUGUGAAUCUAUUCAAUUCAAAGAUGGAAAUAACAGGCAGUCACAAGAACAUCACCGUACAAUGAAGGACAUUAAAUACAUUGGUGUUCCUGGCUGCUCCUUUGUCUGCUGUGGUACUAGGUUU
Molecule: long non-coding RNA, 421 nt
Filed under: Homo sapiens (human)
Lineage: Eukaryota; Metazoa; Chordata; Mammalia; Primates; Hominidae
Description: HSALNT0328359
Source: RNAcentral